CCCGCUGAACUUAAGCAUAUCAAUAAGCGGAGGAAAAGAAACCAACUGGGAUUGCCUCAGUAACGGCGAGUGAAGCGGCAUCAGCUCAGAUUUGAAAUCUGGUUCUUUCAGAGCCCGAGUUGUAAUCUGUAGAGGAGUCUUCGGGUUUGGAUCUGGCCUAAGUUUCUUGGAACAGAACGUCAUAGAGGGUGAGAGUCCCGUAUGAGGCCAGCUACCUAUUCCCAUGUGAAGCUUCUUCGACGAGUCGAGUUGUUUGGGAAUGCAGCUCAAAAUGGGUGGUAAAUUUCAUCUAAAGCUAAAUAUUGGCGGGAGACCGAUAGCGCACAAGUAGAGUGAUCGAAAGAUGAAAAGCACUUUGAAAAGAGAGUUAAAAAGUACGUGAAAUUGUUGAAAGGGAAACGCUUGCGAUUAGACUUGCGCUCAGGUGAUCAACCGGUGUUCUCACCGGUGCACUCUCCUGCUUGCAGGCCAGCAUCGGUUUGGGCGGUUGGAUAAAGGCCCUAGGAAUGUAGCUGUCCUCGGGCAGUGUUAUAGCCUAGGGUGCAAUGCAGCCAGCCUGGACCGAGGACCGCGCUUCGGCUAGGAUGCUGGCAUAAUGGUCGUAAGCGACCCGUCUUGAAACACGG
This 626-nucleotide ribosomal RNA is filed under the name uncultured fungus. Its description in RNAcentral is "eukaryotic LSU rRNA". It matches the Rfam family "Eukaryotic large subunit ribosomal RNA", at positions 24 to 664 of the family's 3401-position model. The record is from RNAcentral. Lineage: Eukaryota; Fungi.